Transfer RNA from Pseudogymnoascus pannorum, 73 nucleotides. It matches the Rfam family "Selenocysteine transfer RNA". The record is from Rfam. NCBI's taxonomy places the organism in Eukaryota, Fungi, Ascomycota, Leotiomycetes, Thelebolales, Thelebolaceae.
AGGGAUAUGCCGUAAAUGGUUUUGCGUUUGGAUUGCAAAUCUAAAAUAUGGGGUUCGAUUCCUCCAUAUCUCU